This 66-nucleotide transfer RNA is filed under the name Pan troglodytes (chimpanzee). It matches the Rfam family "tRNA". Rfam says of the family: Transfer RNA (tRNA) molecules are approximately 80 nucleotides in length. Their secondary structure includes four short double-helical elements and three loops (D, anti-codon, and T loops). Further hydrogen bonds mediate the characteristic L-shaped molecular structure. tRNAs have two regions of fundamental functional importance: the anti-codon, which is responsible for specific mRNA codon recognition, and the 3' end, to which the tRNAs corresponding amino acid is attached (by aminoacyl-tRNA synthetases). tRNAs cope with the degeneracy of the genetic code in two manners: having more than one tRNA (with a specific anti-codon) for a particular amino acid; and 'wobble' base-pairing, i.e. permitting non-standard base-pairing at the 3rd anti-codon position. Lineage: Eukaryota; Metazoa; Chordata; Mammalia; Primates; Hominidae. The record is from Rfam by way of RNAcentral. RNAcentral also lists the same sequence under 1 other name.
GGUAAAAUGACUGAGUAAGCGUUAGACUGUAAAUCAAAAGAUGGAGGUCAAGGCCUCCUUUUACCA